Molecule: ribosomal RNA, 742 nt
Filed under: uncultured bacterium
Lineage: Bacteria
Description: bacterial SSU rRNA
Rfam family: Bacterial small subunit ribosomal RNA
Source: RNAcentral
GCAGUCAGGGGCAGCGGGAGUAGCAAUACUUGCCGGCGACCGGCGCANNNNNUGCGUAACGCGUGAGCAACAUGCCCGUAUCAGGGGGAUAAUCCAUGGAAACGUGGUCUAAUACCCCAUAGUAAGUUUUUGAGGCAUCUCAAAGAUUUUAAAGCUUUGGUGGAUACGGAUUGGCUCGCGUGACAUUAGCUAGAUGGUAGGGUAACGGCUUACCAUGGCUACGAUGUCUAGGGGUUCUGAGAGGAAGGUCCCCCACACUGGAACUGAGACACGGUCCAGACUCCUACGGGAGGCAGCAGUGAGGAAUAUUGGACAAUGGAUGGAAAUCUGAUCCAGCCAUGCCGCGUGCAGGAAGACGGCCCUAUGGGUUGUAAACUGCUUUUGUAUGGGAGCAAUAAGAUCUACGUGUAGAUUGAUGAGAGUACCAUACGAAUAAGCACCGGCUAACUCCGUGCCAGCAGCCGCGGUAAUACGGAGGGUGCAAGCGUUAUCCGGAUUUAUUGGGUUUAAAGGGUGCGUAGGCGGUUUGAUAAGUCAGCGGUGAAAUAUUUCAGCUUAACUGGAAGGGUGCCGUUGAUACUGUCAGGCUUGAAUUUAGUUGCUGUGGGUGGAAUGUGUGGUGUAGCGGUGAAAUGCAUAGAUAUCACACAGAAUAUCGAUUGCGAAGGCAGCUCACAAAGCUAAUAUUGACGCUGAUGCACGAAAGUGUGGGGAUCAAACAGGAUUAGAUACCCUGGUAGUC